ACUCUAAUAGUUUAUAAAAACAUCGG
Molecule: transfer RNA, 26 nt
Filed under: Geophaps scripta
Lineage: Eukaryota; Metazoa; Chordata; Aves; Columbiformes; Columbidae
Also listed under: 2 other names
Description: partial tRNA-Thr
Source: RNAcentral